CGGUGCUAGUGGCAGACGGGUGAGUAACACGUGGGAACGUACCUUUCGGUUCGGAAUAAUACAGGGAAACUUGUACUAAUACCGGAUACGCCCUUCGGGGGAAAGAUUUAUCGCCGAUAGAUCGGCCCGCGUCUGAUUAGCUAGUUGGUGAGGUAAUGGCUCACCAAGGCGACGAUCAGUAGCUGGUCUGAGAGGAUGAUCAGCCACACUGGGACUGAGACACGGCCCAGACUCCUACGGGAGGCAGCAGUGGGGAAUAUUGGACAAUGGGCGCAAGCCUGAUCCAGCCAUGCCGCGUGUGUGAUGAAGGCCUUAGGGUUGUAAAGCACUUUUGUCCGGGAAGAUAAUGACUGUACCGGAAGAAUAAGCCCCGGCUAACUUCGUGCCAGCAGCCGCGGUAAUACGAAGGGGGCUAGCGUUGCUCGGAAUCACUGGGCGUAAAGGGCGCGUAGGCGGACUCUUAAGUCGGGGGUGAAAGCCCAGGGCUCAACCCUGGAAUUGCCUUCGAUACUGAGAGUCUUGAGUUCGGAAGAGGUUGGUGGAACUGCGAGUGUAGAGGUGAAAUUCGUAGAUAUUCGCAAGAACACCAGUGGCGAA
RNAcentral lists this ribosomal RNA (597 nucleotides) under Hyphomicrobiales bacterium. RNAcentral's name for it is "bacterial SSU rRNA". It matches the Rfam family "Bacterial small subunit ribosomal RNA", at positions 87 to 719 of the family's 1533-position model. Lineage: Bacteria; Pseudomonadati; Pseudomonadota; Alphaproteobacteria; Hyphomicrobiales. The record is from RNAcentral.